UCGCUCAAUGAUUUUUUAAAUUGCUGUGGUAUUUUAACUAUACAAAGGUAUUGUAAUAAGAUUUUAAUUGAAUGCUAAAAGAAUGGAAGUUUAAGAAAAAACUUUUUUAAAAAUAAAAAUUAAAUUUUUUUUAAUUUGUGCAAAACCAAUUAUUUAUAUUAAAGACAAGAAGACCCUAUGAAUUUAUGAUUAAAUAAACUAAAAAUUUUUAGUUUAUUUAAUCUUGAUUGGGGCAACAAAAAAUAUUAAUAACUUUUUUAAAUUUAAAUGAU
This 272-nucleotide ribosomal RNA is filed under the name Hyalomma impeltatum. RNAcentral describes it as "partial large subunit ribosomal RNA". The record is from RNAcentral. Lineage: Eukaryota; Metazoa; Arthropoda; Arachnida; Ixodida; Ixodidae.